This 114-nucleotide ribosomal RNA is filed under the name Chelonia mydas (Green sea turtle). Lineage: Eukaryota; Metazoa; Chordata; Testudines; Cheloniidae. The record is from RNAcentral.
UCCAGCCACAACACUGCAGGCUGUGAUCACAUUGGAUCUUACAAGAUAAAUAGGAUUCGGCUUGUUUGGUAUUUUGAUGAGAGAUCUCCAAGAAACAUCUAGACGUGGCAGGAA